This 69-nucleotide transfer RNA is filed under the name Bos taurus (domestic cattle). It matches the Rfam family "tRNA". From Rfam's summary of the family: Transfer RNA (tRNA) molecules are approximately 80 nucleotides in length. Their secondary structure includes four short double-helical elements and three loops (D, anti-codon, and T loops). Lineage: Eukaryota; Metazoa; Chordata; Mammalia; Artiodactyla; Bovidae. The record is from Rfam by way of RNAcentral. RNAcentral also lists the same sequence under 1 other name.
CCUGGUGGCUAAGAUGGUAAAACGUCUGCCUACAAUGCAGGAGACCCAGGUUCAAUCCCUGGGUCAGGA